This 71-nucleotide transfer RNA is filed under the name Loxodonta africana (African savanna elephant). It matches the Rfam family "tRNA". From Rfam's summary of the family: Transfer RNA (tRNA) molecules are approximately 80 nucleotides in length. Their secondary structure includes four short double-helical elements and three loops (D, anti-codon, and T loops). Lineage: Eukaryota; Metazoa; Chordata; Mammalia; Proboscidea; Elephantidae. The record is from Rfam by way of RNAcentral.
GCCGUGGUGGUUCGGUGGUAGAAUUCUCACCUUCCAUAUGGAAGACCCGGAUUCGAUUCCUGGCCAAAGCA